This 494-nucleotide ribosomal RNA is filed under the name uncultured bacterium. RNAcentral's name for it is "partial 16S ribosomal RNA". It matches the Rfam family "Bacterial small subunit ribosomal RNA", at positions 28 to 507 of the family's 1533-position model. The record is from RNAcentral.
GACGAACGCUGGCGGCGUGCUUAACACAUGCAAGUCGAACGGAAAGGCCUGCUUUCCCUUGUGGAUUGCGGGUACUCGAGUGGCGAACGGGUGAGUAACACGUGAGUGAUCUGCCCCCAACUUGGGUAUAAGCCUGGGAAACUGGGUCUAAUUCCCGAUAGGACUGCAGGGUGGUGCCUGUGGUGGAAAACGAUUUUCUAGUGGUUGGGGAUGAGCUCGCGGCCUAUCAGCUUGUUGGUGGGGUAAUGGCCUACCAAGGCGGCGACGGGUAGCCGGCCUGGGAGGGUGGACGGCCACAUUGGGACUGAGAUACGGCCCAGACUCCUACGGGAGGCAGCAGUGGGGAAUAUUGCACAAUGGGCGGAAGCCUGAUGCAGCGACGCCGCGUGGGGGAUGACGGCCUUCGGGUUGUAAACUCCUUUCGACCGCGAGGAAGCCACAUGGUUGGAAGGGUGGUGACGGUAGUGGUAGAAGAAGCACCGGCUAACUACGUG